ACAGAGGGUGCGAGCGUUAAUCGGAAUUACUGGGCGUAAAGCGUGCGUAGACGGCUAUCUAAGUCGGGUGUGAAAGCCCCGGGCUCAACCUGGGAAUUGCAUUCGAGACUGAAUAGCUAGGGUACGGUAGAGGGAAGUGGAAUUUCCGGUGUAGCGGUGAAAUGCGUAGAUAUCGGAAGGAACAUCAGUGGCGAAAGCGACUUCCUGGACCAAUACUGACGCUCAUGUGCGAAAGCGUGGGGAGCAAACAGGA
RNAcentral lists this ribosomal RNA (253 nucleotides) under uncultured prokaryote. Its description in RNAcentral is "partial 16S ribosomal RNA". It matches the Rfam family "Bacterial small subunit ribosomal RNA", at positions 525 to 777 of the family's 1533-position model. The record is from RNAcentral.